AUAGAUAUAUAGAACUAAGUAUAUCUGCAGUAAAAAUAUACAUUCCUGUUUGACUUUUUUCUUUGCAUGAUAUUUCUUUCUGUUGUUGUAUUAUUUCUAAUUUAUAAAUAAUUAUUCAAAUGCUUUUGAUUUUUCAUAAGUAUCAUUUUAGAAUGUAUUGCAUUUUAAUGUUUGUUCACGUAAUCUGCUUGUUCUGCAUAACUCUGAGCUAAAUUUUUCCUACUUGCUCAUUUAGAAAUGAGUAAACAGCUGCCAAGUUUCUUGAUAGCUAUUUGUCUUAAUUUCUAGUUUGGUACAGUUUUAAACCUGCUUUAAUUGUCAAUUAGAAUUAAAGCAUUAAAAUUUCACUUAAUUGAGAAUCAUAGAGGUCACAAAACAUUUUUAUAUAAUAUGCCAUCUAUUGGACAUGCCAUUAUACUGUGACUUAUUCUGUCAGGUAUAGGUAUCGCUAUCAAAAAAUAAAUGUUUCAAAAACAUAAAAGUAUUUUCCUGGUAAAUUAAGAAGCCAGACAAUUUCCCUCGGGAAUUUUCUAAUGUAUUAACAUUUUUAUGGACUUAUUUUCUACAUCUUCAGUUAAAACAUGUAUCUUCUACAAGAACAAUUAUGAAGACUAUUGGUUUCUUCCUUAGACUGAAGAUGGGAAACUAAUCAUUGAAGGAAUGCUGGAUAUUUUGGGGGGAGUAAAACAGCCUAUACAGCUGAAGAUGCAAGAUGAAAAGCAGAUCUCUUCUUUUACCACACUGACUUUACCAGAUACUUUUUCCACCAAAGGGUACCAUGCAGCAGAGCUACAUUCAACCUUCAUUUUCUGGGAUCCACACCCUGUGCUCUCCAUUCCUCUGCUACAGGGCUUUUCUCCUGGAAGUCUGCACUCCUUCUCUGGAAGAGACAAACUGUAA
RNAcentral lists this long non-coding RNA (900 nucleotides) under Chinchilla lanigera (long-tailed chinchilla). Its description in RNAcentral is "lncRNA (ENSCLAG00000023189.1)". The record is from RNAcentral. Lineage: Eukaryota; Metazoa; Chordata; Mammalia; Rodentia; Chinchillidae.